GGCAGGAUGUGAGGAGCCUGUGUCUUCCCGGCUGACCUCAGCGUCGCUCACUCGCAAGGGGACUCGGGGAGCUCUGUUCGUGGUCUUCACGUGUGAGUGGGAGUCAUGCCCGCGGCCCCCCAGCUGACCCCCUCCUGCAGGAGCCCCAGCCGCGAAAGGCCAGACCGUGUCCCACAGCCUGGGCUAAGCUGGCAACGGCCAAGGCUACCCCCACGGACGGAGCCCCUGACCCAGGAGGAGAACAAUGGUCUCUGAUGGGCUGGUGUGGAACAUAACUCCUACAAAAGCCCACAUUGGUCCUGAGAUGCCACGGCCCCUUUCUACCCUCUGCUUUCCUAGAGUGUGGAGCUCUCACAACCUUUCCGAUCCAUCAAAUGGGGCUUGAGAUGCAAUGACUUAUUUAUGAAUGAAAUUGGAGGUGGCGCAUUAAUAAAUUAUGUGAAUCCAUUUUUCUAAGAAUAUGAUGGAAGAAUUAGUUGAUGUAUUAGAAACGCUGUGAUUUUUAUAUUGUGAUUAUUUGUUCUUUUAAAGCAGAAUUCAUUUUUAAUAGCUCAAAAAUGGUCUAAUUAACCACUUUGUUUACAUUAAGAGGUUGCCUUAAAAGUGGGGGAGGGUUUUCUCCUCCAGAAUUAGUGGAAACAGUGGAAAGUUCUUUAGGAGUCCUCGUUCAUCAAGGAGGCAGUUUCUGCUUAUUGAUAAAUGGGCGUUGGAGGCUGUGAGUCAGAAGCAGGUGAAGUGUGCGUGUCUACACUGGAUGCCCGAGGCCAGGACUCAGAUCUGCUCCCAGGACGAGGUUAGUCUUUGGGGAAAAUUCCAGACAACCCAUCGCAAACAGCUCCGAGGGGCCUCUGCUGGCUUGCUGGGGUUUCCUGGGCACAGCUGGGCAUGUGGCUGGGAGACCUGGGGUCAGGGCUUGCUCACCGCCUGCCGAUGGCCUGGGGCGUCUGCUAGCCAAGGGGCAGGGGGCACUGUCCAUGGGGCAGGGGGCACUGUCCACCCUGCCUGCCGGCGGACCCGGACCCUGAGUGGUGGGGCAGGGCAGCCCCUCCCUCAGAGCCUGAGGGCGGUCUUCUGUGGGCACCCCACAUAUGACUGCUCCUGGGGCAUCUGCUCUGUGUGCCUGGGACACGCUGGGCUGCUCCUCCGGGUCAUGUGAGGUGUGGAGGGGACGCACUUGCCUGCCCGCCUUCGGCCUCUCGUGGGAGACGAGCCCUGCGGAGCAGCCAGGCCCCCGCGACUCGGGCUGGGGGACAGGGUCUUCUCUGACUUGUCUCCAGACAGCCGGCCACACUCAGCCCAUCCGGGGCUCAGGCCUCAGAGGCGCUCAGGUGUCACUCACGGUGA
Molecule: long non-coding RNA, 1344 nt
Organism: Bos taurus (domestic cattle)
Lineage: Eukaryota; Metazoa; Chordata; Mammalia; Artiodactyla; Bovidae
Source: Ensembl